RNAcentral lists this microRNA precursor (91 nucleotides) under Chlorocebus sabaeus (green monkey). RNAcentral describes it as "miRNA (ENSCSAG00000027088.1)". Lineage: Eukaryota; Metazoa; Chordata; Mammalia; Primates; Cercopithecidae. The record is from RNAcentral.
AAAUGUUUCAUUAGGUUGGUGCAAAAGUAGUUGUGGUUUUUACAUUAAAAGUAAUGGCAAAAACCGCAAUUACUUUUACACCAAUCUAAUA